UCUUCAGGCGAACAUUGACAUCGAAGUGAUACCCUAUGAUAUCAAGAAAAAUCCUAUGGAACAAAGAAGCAGAUAAUGAUCACAGAAGUGCAACAAAGAGCACCAGGACCUGAUCAUCAAAUGUUAUGAUGUAGAUCUAAUCAGGAACAAGACACCUAAGUUGAACUCUGGCAAGGUUGUCCCAUGCAGAAGGUUUGAUACCCAGGCUUCUUUUGUACAAGUCCCUAGUCCACCCUCAUCUUGAGAACUGUUCCGGUGUCUGGGAUCCCUACAACAUCUCAGAUGUCCAGGACGCUACUUCACAAUGGGGACCACAAGAGAAGCAGCAGUUUGACUGAGAUGAUCAGCACCUUUUAGUUGCCUACUAUAUCUACAACUACAAGGCACUCUGCAAGAAGACUGGGAAUGGUGCACAAGAUAGUCAAUGGUCUCUCCGCUCUUCCUUGAAAAUUUUCCCACUGCACUACUUAUAGCUACUUGCGCCCUCUAUAUAGCAAACAAUGCCUAAUCUGUGCCUGUUGGUCCCCCAUGAUCCUCUUUUUCUUAUAUUAAUUGAGAGCUGAUUUGAUGAGAUAACCACCUGUCAGUGACCUUGCAGGGUGGUCUUAUCCCCCUGGCCAAACUAGUACAGACAGGCUUUAACAAAUCAUGAGCAGGAAGUACCAUGACAUGACCCUCCAGUUGCACCAAGCCAGAAGCGACAUAGGUAGACAAGUUUGUAUUUGCCCAACACUCUGUCCCAAAGUUAAUGGAACUGACUUCCAGCAAAUAUAGUGCAUGCUGACAGUCCAGAGAACUGCCAGGAACUACUUCUGAGGCAUAUACUCUCCUUAUCCCACUUAGAAACAAUCUG
Molecule: long non-coding RNA, 853 nt
Organism: Strongylocentrotus purpuratus (purple sea urchin)
Lineage: Eukaryota; Metazoa; Echinodermata; Echinoidea; Camarodonta; Strongylocentrotidae
Exons: 3
Source: RefSeq, a predicted model, not a curated record